UGCCAAUCUUCAUUAAUUAUAAGGGUCUGUUUGAGGUUUGCUCCUACUGUGGGAGGAAAACAGUACUCAAAUACGAUUAUGAUAUCAAUAAGUUGGAUGUCCUUGGUUUAUGAUCAACAAAGGUGUUCGGCGACAAGCCAAACAUGUUGUUGGAGGAUUUCAAUGAUCCAAAGCUCACUUUAGGCAACCUUGACAAUGACCUCAUCGUUUACUUCCCUCAACCACCAAGGGCUGUCCCUGAUGGUGCACACUUUGGGGUGAGUGCAAAAGACUCAAAGAGGACUGUUAGUUAAGCUUCAAGAAAAAGAAGAAAAGAGAAUGAAGGUGACAAUGAAGAUGAAAAGUGAAGGUGAAGGUAAGGCUAUAGGUCCAAGUGUAGGUGUUGGUGAUGGCCUAGGUGCAAACAAUUGAUGAUGUUGGAUGACGUGAUGAAGUGGGCAAGUGGAUGUAAGCAAUUUAGAUUUAAUUUUAGCAUGUUUUAAUUAAUGUUUUAGCUUUAGUCUUUUACGUUGGACGUUUUUUAUGUACUACUGUUCAGGUAAUCUGAUGUGAAAAUUAACUUAACACACAAAUUUAACCCUCUUUUGACAACUGUAGUAUAAAAAUAAGUAGGGAUCGUUCUGGACCGAGGAUUAGGAGGGCUUGCUAAUAACCUCUAAAUUGACUCAAAAACAUAAAAUUAAACUUAAAAAAAAAUACUUAACAAGACUCACAAGACUCAAAGCAAACUUAAAAUACUCAAAACAGCUUAAAACAACUAAAUAAACUUAAACUAGACACUAGAAAUGACUUUGGACAAAAAUUGACUUUUACUUGAAUCAAAACAUUUUAAAAACACAAAUUAAAACAGAUUCUAACUAAUUAGACACAAUAAAAUAAAGGGGGAGUGAGUUUUGGACGGAGUUGAAACAAACAAACAAGUAUGAAAAACUAGACAAAUUGUAAAACAAAUUUGAGAAAUAAGAUGAUGGAUGGGAUAGCUAGAGGCUUUUUCUCCACACAUGAUAUGUAUACAAACAACUCGAUUUCCAGUUACUACUUCAUUGAAUUAUGAACGACAAUGCUCCAAAUUAACCAUGACAUCACUAAUUAACUCUCAGAUUUUCCUUGUUUUAUUAGAUUGGAUGACAUCAUUCGACAACCCAAAACAUUCUUCUAAAGUUCCCUACAUGACAUGAUAAUAGAGAUACAAUCAAAGAUCAUUACAUUUAAUGAAAAUCAUAAGCAUUGACAAAGCACUUGCAACUAUGACAUCAUGUCACUCAUGCUAGGAAUUGAACUUAACGCGAUCCUUUAUAAGCGACCUUCACUACAUGUGAAUAUAAGUUUGUAACGAUUAUGUGAAACUUCCUUAUAUCCUAGCAACGGAUUUAUGCAUGCCAAUUAAGUGUCGACCCUUAAUUAACAAAUACAAAUAAGUUAUCAA
Molecule: long non-coding RNA, 1426 nt
Filed under: Malus domestica (apple)
Lineage: Eukaryota; Viridiplantae; Streptophyta; Magnoliopsida; Rosales; Rosaceae
Description: long non-coding RNA (MDOM_LNC012763)
Source: RNAcentral